Molecule: ribosomal RNA, 533 nt
Filed under: Choanephora cucurbitarum
Lineage: Eukaryota; Fungi; Mucoromycota; Mucoromycetes; Mucorales; Choanephoraceae
Description: SSU rRNA
Rfam family: Bacterial small subunit ribosomal RNA
Source: RNAcentral
UCAGCAGUCAAAGGAUAUUAGUCAAUGGCCGAAAGGCUGAACCAGUCACCUAGAAGGACGGAUACAUUAAUUUGAUAAAGUCCUAACGGAAAGGAGGAUAAUGACUGUACUUUCCUAUUAAUCCCGACCAAUCUCGUGCCAGCAGUCGCGGUAAUACGAGAGGGGUAAGCAUUAUUCAUCAUUAAUGGGUCUAAAGGGUACGUAGGCUGUAUCAUAAGACUAAAAGGUAUCGAACUAAACGAAUAAGAGCUUUUUAGUAACUGUGAAACUAGAGUGUAAUGGAGGAAAGAGGAACUCCGAGAGUAGGGAUGGAAUCUGUUGAUCCUCGGAAGACCGCUUAAGGCGAAGGCUUCUUUCUAACUAAACACUGACGCUGAGGUACGAAAGUAUGGGGAGCAAAACGGAUUAGAGACCCGUGUAGUCCAUACCGUAAACGAUGAGUGCCUUAGAUUCGUUUUAAUGAGUCUAUAAAUGUAGAUUAAAGCACUCCACCUGGGGAGUACUGCCGCAAGGUGAAACUCAGACAAGUCAUC